ACUAUUCUUCAAAACAUAAAGAAAAUAACUUUACAUACUAAAAUAAAUGUAUCCAACAACAAUGAGUUUAAACAAAGCACAAAUACAUCUUUUAAGCAAAAAUUGAAACUUUAUCCAAAAUAAUCAAAGAAUAAAGUAAAAAAAGGCACAUACAACUAUUGCUAGCUCAUUUUUAUAUCAUGAACAUGAAAAUAAUUAGAAUAUCGAUACCACAACGUUCUAGGGCCUUCAAGGC
RNAcentral lists this long non-coding RNA (235 nucleotides) under Capsicum annuum. RNAcentral's name for it is "long non-coding RNA (CANN_LNC009812)". The record is from RNAcentral. Lineage: Eukaryota; Viridiplantae; Streptophyta; Magnoliopsida; Solanales; Solanaceae.